This 425-nucleotide ribosomal RNA is filed under the name uncultured bacterium. RNAcentral's name for it is "partial 16S ribosomal RNA". It matches the Rfam family "Bacterial small subunit ribosomal RNA", at positions 354 to 796 of the family's 1533-position model. The record is from RNAcentral.
GUUAGGAAUAUUGGACAAUGGGCGAAAGCCUGAUCCAGCCAUGCCGCGUGAACGAUGAAGGCCUUCGGGUUGUAAAGUUCUUUAGCCGAUGAUUAUAAUGACUGUAGUCGGAAAAUAAGCCCCGGCUAACUUCGUGCCAGCAGCCGCGGUAAUACGAAGGGGGCGAGCGUUAUUCGGAAUCACUGGGCGUAAAGCGUGCGUAGGCGGUUUUGUAAGUUAGGAGUGAAAGCCCAGGGCACAACCUUGGAAUUGCUCUUAAAACUGCAAGGCUCGAAUCUCGGAGAGGAUAGCGGAAUUUCCAGUGUAGCAGUGAAAGGCGUAGAUAUUGGAAGGAACACCAGUGGCGUAAGCGGCUAUCUGGACGAGUAUUGACGCUGAGGCACGAAAGCGUGGGGAUCAAACAGGAUUAGAAACCCCAGUAGUCC